This 9886-nucleotide long non-coding RNA is filed under the name Brachypodium distachyon (stiff brome). RNAcentral's name for it is "long non-coding RNA (BDIS_LNC004188)". Lineage: Eukaryota; Viridiplantae; Streptophyta; Magnoliopsida; Poales; Poaceae. The record is from RNAcentral.
GCAACUUGACAGCAUCUGUGAUGACAUCAAACAGAUCCGGAUAAUCGGACCACGGCGCAGACCCGCGUAACUUACGGCCUCGAUUAGAUUUCUACUCUGGGCCGAAAACAGCGGUCCGAUGGUCGUUUAGUGACGGCCCAAGAUGCUCGUUUUUGCCAUUUCCACCCGGAGAAAAAAAAAAUCAACUGCUCCUACCUAUCCUAUCCCGGGGGCGACGCGUUGCGGCCCGCCGCCGCCGCACUGCGCCUAUGAGAGAUCUCGGGAUGCCGGAGUCCUUUGUCUCCCCCACCCUGACCGUCUUCUUCUCUGACUGACGCCGACACCGACCGACCGGCUCCACUCCCUGGCGGCGGCGACAAACGGCGCCAGUGGGCACGAAGACACUGCCGCGUUGAGUUGGUGCGUGCGCCCCGGCGACAGACAUGGUCCUCGCCGGCCGCCGCCUCCUAAAAUCGAUUGGAGAUCAGGUGGUGGUGGUGAUGGUGGGAAUUUGUCGGCCAGAUUAUGCUCUUGACGGCAAGUCUAGAGGUGCUGUACCUUCUCCUUUGGUCUUUAAUUUUCCGUUCUUGCUUUGAUUAUUGGAGGCGCUGACAUGGAGCCGGACCGGCAGCUAGGCGUGUACUGUUGACCUGAGGAGAACGGCCGUGGAUUGUGUGCCGCAUCGACGCAAUCUCGUCGCCGGUCAGGUCAGAGACAGGAGUACAGGACAGGAAGACACAGGAGCUGUUCGUUGGAAGGUGCUAAUCCAAACAGUAAACUACAGGGGAAAACAGGAGUACAAAGGUAAUCGUUGUGCACGAUGAGUAAUUUAAUCAGGCUGUAUGUGUAUUUUUCCCAAGUUGCCAAGCGGGGUUCGAGAUAACUUACUGGCUGGGACGUGAUAAUGGCCUGAAUUGGUUACGGGCCAAAAGGAGUUUACAGAAGUAAGGAACAAGGAAGUGAAGGAUUUGCUAGUGGUGGGGUAGAAGGCGUGGGAUGCUACUAUUGUCCAUGAGUUCUUCUGGCCACAUGAUGUAGCGGGAAUACUUGAACUUAAACUCCCAGUGGCAAUAAGAUAAGCAUGGAUUGUUCACUGUUAGGAGUGGCUACUUGCUCGAUGUUUGGGACCGUUUCAAUCUUCAGAAUCGGGCGUCGAGUAGCGAUUUCAGCAACGGAUCUCGGAUGGCGUAGGAUGAUAUAUAUGGAAAUUGUAAGGUCCACUGAAGGUUUUGAUAUUUGGGUGGAGGCGUGCCAGGAUGAAUAUGCCGAUGGCGCUGGAAAGGGGACCGAUUCGAACUUAUUGCUAGACUGUGAUCAACGGCACAUGACAGAUCGUGUUUCGGCCAUCUUUUCCAAGACCUGAAGGACUGUUUGGCUAACGUGGUGGAACUUCUUCGUUUUCCACCUGUAAAGACGAAGUGUAAUAGGAUUGCUCGCGAACUGGCUCAAUUAUAGCAAAUAGUGGUGUAGGGACCGCUAUUUUGUGUCCAAAGUCAUCACUGUGCAUUGGCUAGCUUGAACAAAGUACAGUUAAGCAUGCUACAAACAACAUCUUACCAUCAUAAUUAAUGGUGAUACAGCAUCUGAUUGUACUUAGGUAUAUAUGUGUGGUACUUACAGGCUUACAGCAUAGAGCAUGCAUCUGAAUGGUACCAGUACACUACAAGUGUAGCUAGAUGGACAGAAUUACUUUCAAGAUACCCGCAAUAGCACCAAGGAUAGAUAUCACAACGGCAACGGUUUUCCCAUGUUUGUACCAGAAUUUGUACACCCUAAUCCAUAUCCACCUGUUGAGCUUGUAAGCCUUGUAGACCUCGAUAUCUGCCAUGAUGCAGGAGAAUUUGUAGCCAUUAUCCGGAAGGUGCUUGGCUAGGCUCUUGAAGAAAUCAAGCAUCUCCUUGUUGGUGUGGUUUCCGUGCACGAGGUGUUUGGACCGUAGCCUGAGCACAUCCUCAUCCCGGUCCAUGAGCAUGGCGAGGAGGGCGAUGUAGGAGCAGACCGCGGUCUUCUGAACAUCCUCCUUAAACCUUGAGACCGUGCAUACCUCAAAAGCUGCCAUGUUGACGAGCCAGCACGCCUUUGUACUGUCCAGGGACAGUGGCACAAAGAAGAGAUUUCCCAAGAAGAGCUUUCCUGAAAAGAGAUUUUCCAGGAAGGCUCCUUUCUUCAUCCCAAUGUCCAUGAAAUCUGCUGUCUUGCUCGGUUUCAGCCUCACACCGAUUUCUGCUAGCUCGAUGGCAUUGGAUACAGAGAUUUGCUUGAGCAAUCCAUGAGCUGCUUCGGUUUUGUUUUCUGGUCCAUAAUCAGGUACAUGAGGUUUGGGUGCCUUUCUUCGUCCUAGCUUGUAAAAUCGGAGGAGCCCAAGGAGAUGCGGUGGAGUGUAUAUUUCAGGAUCCAAGACAAACGAUUCGGGCUUGAGAUCCUGUCUGAUCUGGAACUUGUUCCCCAUCUCCGCAAUGAAGUCCUCAAUCUUCACGGGGCUGAACUUCCUGAGGGCGUCAAGCACCAUCCAUGGGAGCUGGUUCUCCAGCAGCAUCACGUCGUUGUCGAUGCAGGCCCGAUUGGAGAAAAAGAAGCGUCGCAACGAUGGGUUCACGUCAAAAUAUUCUCUGCAGCCCAAAGAGCUAGACAUACAAAGCAUGUACUGCAGCAAGAAGCAAGCAUCACGGAACAUCAUAUCAACAAAGUCAGCAUCCUCGAUACCUGCCACCACGUCACUGGUGUAGGUGCUGCGGGCGUUGACUGCGACAGGGAAGAACUCAUCGUAGAUCUUGUGAUAGUCAUAUGUGGAUAUCGUGCUCGCGGCAUCAAUGAAGUAAUGGGCAGCAGCGUGCUUCACCUUGGCCAUCUCCUGGAGGCGGGGCGAGCCGCGAUGGUAAGGACCGAUAGCCACCACCAUUGGGACUAUGUAUUGGCCACCCAGACCUCGUAGGCCUGGAGGGAACCUAUGGAUCUUCGUUUCCAUCUCGUUGAAAUGGAAAUCAGCCUCAAAGACUUGGGCUGCUUCCCAUAGCAACUCCUCAACCUUAAUACCCACGGCUUCGGCAGAAUUGAGCUCCACGGAUCUGCUGUAGUAGAAAUUGGCCGCUGCAUCGAUCUCUGCUGGGCUCAUGGCUAGCCUUCAGCAGCAAAUAAGACCUGCAGCUGUCAACUACGAGGUAUGUAGAUCCGCUCAAUGGAUCGAUCUCUGCUGUCUACUAUCUAGCUAAAUAGAUGGUUGUUGGUUCUGGGUGUAACUACGGCCUGCUGCUGGUUGACUGGUUAAUUUUUAUACAGACGAGGCCUCCGCUACCAGCUCCGACGCGCCUAUAGGUUAGUUUUAAUCUGGGUGCAUGAACAUGCAUGCAUGAAGCCCGAGCAUGCUGACAGUUAAAAAACAAGCCCGAGCAUUCUCCUUUUUAGUUUAUCCUUGGUAAGUACUAUGGCCCUUCUCGUAGUACCAAUGAAAUAUUUUCUGAAAGAAAAUUGGGAGUCCAUGGUGAUGUAGUUUUGAAGGAGCUUUGAGCUUCCACAACCAUCUACUACUCAUCACAGGCACAUCGCUAUGUACAAGAGCCUAGUACAAUGAUUUAACCGAGAACAAUCCAUUUUGGUACAAAUUCCUGCGAAACAUGUCUAGGUCCUGUGAUAAAUUGAUGUUUGUGAGAGGUAGGAGAAAAUCGUUCCAUGCCACAACUUAGGGACCAACAAAAUAUUUUCUAAAAGAAAAAUUGGGAGUCCAUGAUGAUUGAUGAUGGUGGUAGUAAUUGGCUCCGCCUCUCUCAUUCUUAGGUUAAGUAGUCCUCUUUGAUGCGAAAAUUGCUUACAAUUUUCCCAUGGCUUUCAAUUUGUAGGAAGUUGUAAAUGCCCUAGGCCCCUUGGUGUAUCAAGAAUUCAGAUCUAGAUAGUUUGUGAAAAUUCUGUGUAAACACCAGUGAAAUACUUGUGAAAGCUGAGAAACACUUCUUGGUGUGGUGGUGAAGUUGUGGGUGCAUGACUCCACCCAACAGGCUUACAAUCCUUUUAUAUAAAAAAAGAAAUACUUGUGAAAGCUCCAUGGAAUGCAGCGAUACAUGAUCCAAAUUGUUUAAGUUUUUGUGAAACAUUUAUGGAAUCAAAACAAUUAUUAUAAAUUUAACGUAGCAUUUUUUUAGGACAAAUAGGUUUUCCAGGAAUUCAUUGAAACUUGUGUGAAUCCAAAGAUUCUAUGAAACUGAUCUAAAACUGCUCCAUUUUGUGAAGUUAUCUGAAAUGUGUAUGAAAUAGUUCUGAACCUGAAAUGGUUUCACGAAAUUUCAUUGGAAAAACUGAAAUGAUUUUGUCAAAUUUUAUGAAACUAGAUAGUUUGAGAUUGAAUGGUUGUCAAAAUUUAUUAAUAUUCUGAAUCCAAAUUGAUUUCGUGUAUAUUGAUCGAAACUUUUGUAAAAUAAACCUGAAUUGAUUUUGUGGUAGGUCAUAAAUAAUAUUUGUGAAAUCAGGUUCAACAUGAAUUAAAUGUGUGAAAUAAUUAUAGAUCCAAACUAAUUUUUAGAAAUUCAAUGAAACGGUGUAAAGCUGAUUGGUUUGUGGAAUUCAUUGAAAACUUCUAUGAAACCAUCUAAAUUUGUAACAUUUCUAAAAAGCGAAGAUGUGUGGGAUGUGGGGCGACAAGUCUCUCUGCCGGGUGGAGCUUCAAGGAAAAUCUCUUACCAUCUAUUUUUUUUGCAUCAAAUGAUUGUCAUAAUUUGUUUACAUUUACAACAAUGCAAUUUAUCAAAAUCAACCCAGAGUCCAUGGUUGGUGAUGGAAUUUUACAUUUAUAACCUUAUACUGUCAUAAUCAAACACAAAGUCCAAUGGUUUCUAAAAGAGUAAAAUACACUCACGGUCACUGAAUUUGUUUUAAAGAUUCUCAAUUUAGUCCCUGUAUUUUGGAAUCCGAGACAUACGGUCACUAAACUCGACGAAAUGUCUCACGUACGGUCACCAGGACCUUGGACGUGGAGAGGAGGGAUUUCUAGAUCCCUCUGCACGCGUGCAUGUGCCAAAUUUCUAGGGAUCACUCUGCAUGCGUACGCACGGCCAUGAGGAUAGACGGAGGCACACGGAGAUAAAAUGAAGGGCCUCGGCGGGCUCCUCUAACUAUGACAAGCAAUGUCAAAACUCAGGAGGUGACUUUUCUUCAGCAAAUGGAUCAAUUGAUCGGCUCCUCUCACUGCUUUCUCAUCUUCAAACUCAAACAAAGGAAAGAAAAAGCGACACAAUUUCGUUCAGCAGGGCAUUGGAGUUUGCAUUGCCUCUUCGAAAUGCAGUCAUAGAUCACUGUAACUCGUGUGCCAUGCCAGUUAGACGCAUUUGUGUUUGACAUUGGGGCAGAGCGGGAUGGGAAGCAGAGAAGUGGCGUCGCCUGGGAAUGGAGCCACGAAGGGGAGCCGAGCCGCCUGACAGGGACGCAGCGGAGGAAGGCCGCGCCAGCGCCGGAGCAGGGCUAAACCGCCUGGGAGGGGCGCGCCGCCCGGAAUAAUUAUUAUCUCUACCCGGCCUAACCUUUGCCGACGGCCAGUACUUCACUGAUCACUCACUCAUGGCUCAUUGGCUUGUUUUCUCCGGGCCCUGCUCCACCCAACACAUGCUCUUCCCAGCCUCACAUAUUCACGAACACCUUAAGGACAUAAGAACACCUGGGAGGGGGAUGCUAGACGGAGCGGGGAAGGAAAGCCGCUGCGCCGGCGGGAAGGAACGACGAACCUACACCAACAGAGGCUGCAAACGCGAAAAGACGGGUGACGGAGGAGGAACUGUAGCACGCGGCAGCCAUGCAUGGAACCAGGGGGCAGCAACAGCGCAUGCCGCUCCCUCUCCCAACAGCCAUGGUUCGUGGCUGCGGUGGAGCUCGUUCACCAAAAAUAAAAAUAGUAAGGAAUCUAAGGACCGAAUGGCAAAAUGCAGCGCUGACGUGGCAUGGGGACUGUACAAAUACGGGAGGGCGAUCGUACGUGGGACAAGUUCAGUGAUCAUGAGCGCAUUUUACUCUUUCUAAAACAUCUUUGAACCCUGGACUAAAAUAUUUGUGAAUUUUGACUACGACACUUUUGAAAUUCAACUAAAAUAUUUACGAAACUUGAUUGGAACUUCAUAAAUAUUCCAUACAAAUUUAAUAAAAAUUUAGUUGAGUUUCAUAAAUCGGAUGGUGACACAUUGGUUAUAAUUUUGAAGAAGUGGUGUAUGAUAUCUGUACCAUCAUCACCAACUGUAAUUUAAUAGAUAGUAAGAGCAACUCUAGCUGUUACCGAAAACUAUCGAUCCGAACUGGCCAACAAUUUUCAGUUUCGAAGAACGAUGCGCAGAACCGAAUCCGAAUUCAACAUCAAACUUUUGAAAAAACACAUUCGCGCGUGAAUAAAAACAGACAUACAUAGGAAAAUCAACCGAGUAGUUCAACAACGUUGCAUACAGUAGAAUAUUUAAAAACAAACAUACAUUGAUUAUAUAUAUAUAUACUACGUCGUCGUCGCUGUCUAGCCGCCGGUGUGGAACUACUAGUCAAUUUUGCUGCGCUAGAUUGCCUCAGCGAGAUCCGCCUGGAACUCAGCCCCCCCUCCUAGCAGCCUCUGUCGCCGCCGACCGCUCGGAGUCGAGCCACACCGCUUAGUAAGUGCCGACCUCCUCCUCCCGGGCGCGCCGGUCGGGUGGGCCGGCCCAAGUGCCCGACGCUAGGGUGGCCUCAUCCGCAAGGUAGCGCUGGUACUUGCGCUCUGCAUCGGCGCUGAGGUGCCGGUGUAGCAAGUACUUGCGCGCGUUGCGCCGCCAAGCCACGAUUCGGUGGUGGCGUGACGCCUCGUCGUCGUCCCCGCCUCCACCUCGACCGCCGCUAGCUAGGGUUUGCUCGGCUCUGCGGGGAAGCGGCACGGCGGCCGGAAAGCACCAUCUCAGCGAUGGAAGGGGUUGCGGCGGGUGGGUUGCGGCUGCGGAAGGGUCGGCGACGGGUGGGUUGCAGGGGCGGAAGGGGCCGGGUGGUGGCGAGUUCGGAGUUGGAUCCGAACCCACCACUCGGAGCGAUACAUAUAUGUUGGAUUUUGGGCCGAUUUGGGAAACCGAAUUAGGUUUUCGAUAAACGGUCCGUUUUCUGUCCCAAUUUUCGGUCCAAAACCGAAAAACGAGUUUGGAUCGGUUGUUUUCGGUAACUGCUAGAGUUGCUCUAAAGAUAUACAACUAGCUGUCCGCAUGUAUUUGGCUAGAUGAUGGCAUGUACCGGAGCAGGUUGAGAAACUUUUGGUGAGCAUGUUCCCGUGAAAAAAGAAAAUUUUGGCGAGCAUGUUCACCUGCCCCCGUGCACAUUCUUCGAGCGUGUUGCAUGGCACAUGCCGGAGAUACCGAUUGUCCCCCAUGUACAUGCAUCGGUCCGAUAAAUAUUGCGAGAAAAAACCUGGAUCGGUUCGUCGACUUUAACCAUUGCUACUACAAAUUAGCGUUGAUGCCUCAGACAGCAAAAACGACAAAAACGGCAGGCGUCCGCUGAUUGGGACUGACUUUUAGGAGCACGACGCCACCACUCCACGAGCACGGCGCAUGACCGUGGCUUAGCCGAGAUCUGGAACGGUGGCCCAACUGAUAUAAGAAAUCAGUUUUGCCACAAAUACCUUGUAAUGCGGAGGAGUAACAUGCAUGCUAAAUAUACUAUGUUUGCCGCACAACACCAGGCGACUUGCCUGCCUCCGUCAAGCACACCGCCGGCCACCUAUGCGCUGCGCGCGCUGCUGAACUCUCCGCUCGAUAGGGUUUGAGAAUUGGAAACAAGUGUACUUGUGUUCGCUUCAGAAAAUGAUGAGAUGAAGGUCGACGAAAAAUAAGAACCAUACAACGUACGAAAUGUGCGAAUAAGUCAGUAUGUGAGGUGGUCUAGAUUCUAGAGACUCAAGAAGAUACCAAUAAUCUUAACACGGAACAACCGGGGUUGGCUGUGGGUUAUAUUUCUUUGUAUUUUUGGGCUGAAACAUGUAUGGGUAUAUGGGUUCAUGGCAAAAUUUCAGGGUGGUCCAGCUUGGUAUAUGGGUAUACGCAGAACCAAGAGAUAUGAAGGACCAAGGCUUCAAAUUACUGAUAUCCGGUUAGGGGAAAGACGUCGCUCGAUUCACAAGGAUCAUGCGUUUUUACCUUGAAGACAUAGACCAAGAUAGGAGCGAAAUGCGCCAUCAAACUCUCAGAAUGCCUUUCUAGGCCUCUCAACUAAUUGGAAAUACGACCCCUCUAUGGUCAUAUACAGCAGAGAUAUACGCAAGGUUGACAUGACAAGUACCUGACUAGUGGGGCCCACUUUUUUACAUGUUGGGGAUGACCAUUUACUCCAGCUCCUUCUCUCUCGCUUAGAUGUUCUCCACACCGUCCUCUAGUGACCGGAAUGGGAGGGCGCCCAAAAGCAUGUUCCUUGAGAGGUUGAGUCGACAGACAAGGGCGACCCGACCCCCAAACUCCCCCCUCCCUGGGCUGUGAAACAUCACGCAAAUGAGCUCAUUAAGACCAUGUCAUCUUUCUCACCUUGAAAGAAAGAGUGCCCUCUGGAGUUGUUGGAGAGGUUGGGUUCGGUAGAUCUUGAGGCUGCUCAAGUCGGCGACGAUGCACAUCGGAAUACCGUCGCACAAGCCAUUGCAAGAGAUGUUGAGGAUUCCGAAGUUCUAGCAGUCGCCAAGGCUUGAGAUAUGGCGUCAGCGAGGCGAUCGUGGUAGAUCAUAUAUACCUGCAUGUGAUUGGUGAGGUUGGGGAACAUAGAAGGGAUGGCGCUGACAAAAGGCGGUUACCAAGGAGGGUCAAGGAGGCCGAGGCCCAUGAGCUCCUUGAUGGACUCAGGGAUCUCUCCGAAUAGGAGGUUGUUCAAGAGGUACGACUGCUCGAGCCGCCAGAGCCGCGAUAUCUCUAGCGGGAUGGAGUCAUUAACCGAAGUGGUUGAGGGCUGCGCGCAAUAAGAAUUAGUGACAGGCUCAGGGCACUAGGUUCCAACUACACCAGAGUCUAUGCCAGAAUUUCUAACAGGCAGGCCACUAGGAAUUUGGAAGGUACCAAUCUUUCUGUUUUCAAUUCUUUUGUUGUUCUUGAUGAUGAUCAAAUGCUUGGUAGAGCUUUAGAAAUAGGCAUUGAUAUAGAUAAUAUGGCUCUAGACAAUAUACAUUUGCUGCAAGACCUAGAGGUUGCUAGGCAUAAUUUGGGGGAAAAAGUUGAAGGAGAACCAGAGGGGAUUCCUGGUGUGGUCAUGCCCCAUUAAAAGACCGAUUCCCCAGGCUUUUUGAAAUUUCCAAUGAUGUAGAUUGCUCUAUUGUUGACAUUGCAGCCAAGCGCUGGCACCUUACUUUUAGGAGGUGGCUGGAUGAAAAUUGCCAGUAUGAUUACACCAAGCUAAAUUCUAAACUAAUGGGCAUGAGUGUGAAUGAGGAAGUUGACAGGCCUUUAUGGAAGUGGUCUAAAACUGGAAAAUACAAAAGUCAAAUCCAUGUAUAAUAUGUUGACCAGUCAUGGCCCAAAUAGAUCCUUCUACCAUUUGUGUAAAGCCAAAAUCCCCUUACAAAUUAAAAUUUGGUUGUGAUUAAUUUGGCACAAUGCUAUUGCCACCAAGGACAAUAUGGUUCGAAGGAACUGACAAGAGGACAUUUCCUGUCGCUUUUGUUCUGAAAAUGAAACUAUACAUCAUCUGUUCUUCACUUGUGCUGCUGCUAGAUACACUUGGGGGAUUGUGGGGGUUGCCAUUGGGGCUGGAACUAGACCAUCUUGUUUUUCUCAGUAUUUUCUUUGGAUCACACAACAUAUCAGAAUUAGUUGCAAUUUGCAAAUUGUUGGCCUUGCUGGGCAAUCUGGAAAUUGAGAAAUUGAGCUUGUUUUGAGCACCGUUUGAUUAGAUCGCCUGCAGAGUUGAUUUGCUAUGCAUGUGACUUUUUAAAAUACUGGGCAGGGCUUCAGACUGG